This is a non-coding RNA of Nicotiana tabacum (common tobacco), 1623 nucleotides long. The record is from RefSeq and is a predicted model, not a curated record. NCBI's taxonomy places the organism in Eukaryota, Viridiplantae, Streptophyta, Magnoliopsida, Solanales, Solanaceae.
ACAACCGCUCCUUGUGAAAAUACAGAGUAGAGAAGAAAAAUGAUACUGAAUUAUGCUUCUUCUGCGUUUGUCCAAUGGAACAAAACUCCAAAGAAAAUGGUAUAUUUCUCUGCUUCUGCUGCUAAUUUAAAUACGGAGAAGCUUAGAGAGCAAUUAGACCAUCUUCACAAGGAAGCACAAACCACAAGAAAUAAAGCGAAUAGUGCAAGAUCGAGGCUACUUCGGUUGUCUGAAGCAGCGGAAAAAUUUCGGCGACAAGCAGCCGUUAGUAUUCAAACUGGAAAGGAGAAUGACGCCAGGGAGCUACUUUUUCAAAAGAAGAAGAUUAUGCAAGCCAUGGAGAAGUCAAAGAGCCGCAUUGAAUUGCUUGAUGAACUUGCGGCAAAGCUUAAUGAGGCAAUAUCUAUGAGGGAGAAGCAGUUAAUCGGAAAUGUUGCUUUUGACCUUGAUAUUGCUAUAGAUGAUGCCCCAAGUCCUGUUCGAAUAGUAUCUCCAAAGGAUGAAAAUCCAGAUAAUUCAGAUGAAAAUGAAGACUUUGACCAGGAAACUAUAAAAUUAGAUGAUAGCCAAGAAUUGCAAGCUCCCAAUGAUAAUAAUGCAGAACGUAUAACUGAUUAUGAAUUGAAAAAUCUCGAGGUAUCAACAAGUGGGAACAUGUCCAAGGAAGCCGACAAGAUCGAUAGUUUAAAGGGGGUAUCCUCAUAUGAGGAGUUUUUGGAACAUAUAGACCAACAACUAAGAGACAUUGAAGUAGAGCUUAUCACCUUUUUGAGAUUUUCAUCCUUAAUACUUGAAAGCAAAGAGAAACUAGAAAACUCAAAGGUACAGCAAGCACUGGACGUUCUGGAGGGUGUUCAUCAGCUUAGAGGGAGGUGAUGUAUAAGCAGAUCCAGAAGCGAAAUUGCAAGCAUAGUGCAGAAAAAAGCAGGUGUAAGUUGAAGCUUUCUUUCACUGUAUGCAAUUCCUGCAGUGGUCGAUGCUAAGGCAAAAGUUUAAGUGCGACUUCGGUAAGAUCCUGUGCGCUCUCUCAGAAGAUCAAGUUGCUGUAAGAUAAUAAGAUAUAUGCUUCGUGAACAACAGGAGAAAACUACAGCCUUCUUUCAAUGUAGUAAGUUUUCAACAGAUGCUGAUGUACAAGAUAUCAAACUGAUUGCUGAUUUACAAGAUGUCAUCUUUUCUUAUUUUCCUCAUCUUCUUGAACUUGGACAUGAUCUACUCUCAUUUACUGCAGCAGUAGAAUAUUACUUGGCACAUUUUCUGUGCUCUGAGAACACUAUAUAUGCUGUAACUUUAGUUUAGUUUAUAACUCAUCCUGUUGCUGAUAAAAGCUUGGCAGUUUUUCUCGUGAGAAUAUGCCGGAUAGGACAUCUGAUUGCAAAUAUCCUUUAAGGCGGGCUGUUUGCCAGUCUGAUUGAAGUUGGAAAGCAUAAAAAAGGUGCAAAACAUUGUCAUUGGAUAAACUUUAUCAGUGUAUUCAGGCAGGAAACUGAUAUGAUUUUUCAGUCAUCAAUUGGUUUCUAUAUCCACAUUCAGGUUAUUCAUAGUAAAUGUAGGUUACCUCUGUGCUUAUGUUGCCCAAACAAUUUGAUGAUAUGUUAUAAACCUUGUUUAAUCUCUUACUGA